AGAUCUUCAUACCAAUGGGAUUGCUGAUAUGAAAAUUGAUUGUGGCGCAGAAUGUUCUAGAAGGUGUUCUCUAUCGUCAAGACCAAAUCUAUGCCAUAGGGCUUGCGGCACGUGUUGUGCCAGAUGUAACUGUGUGCCACCUGGCACUGCCGGCAACGACGAGGUUUGCCCCUGCUGGGCCAACCAGACUACUCACGGUGGCCAGAAAAAAUGCCCCUGAUUAAAAAUUAUAUCUUAAUUAUUUGCCCCUAAAUAUUAUAUAUGUUGUAUUUAGGGUUUAAUGUUUUUGAAUUUACACAUUUGGUGUUUAAUUUGUUUUCAGAUUCUAUGUCAUGAAUGGUAAAAUAUACCAUGUGUAUCAAUUAUCAUUUAAUUAAUAUUUACAAUCAUCCAUAUUAA
Molecule: non-coding RNA, 399 nt
Organism: Erythranthe guttata (spotted monkey flower)
Lineage: Eukaryota; Viridiplantae; Streptophyta; Magnoliopsida; Lamiales; Phrymaceae
Source: RefSeq, a predicted model, not a curated record